AGGACGAACGCUGGCGGUGUGCUUCACACAUGCAAGUCGAACGGGGUAGCAAUACCCAGUGGCGGACGGGUGAGUAACGCGUAGAAAUCUGCCUUGAGAUGGGGGAUAACAGUCCGAAAGGCUAGCUAAUACCGCAUACGUCUUUGGCCGGCAUCGGCCGAUGAUAAAAGGAGCAAUCCGCAAGGUGACGGGACCGCGUCCCAUUAGCUAGUUGGUGAGGUAAUGGCCCACCAAGGCUCCGAUGGGUAGCUGGUUUGAGAGAGCGACCAGCCACACUGGGACUGAGAUACGGCCCAGACUCCUACGGGAGGCAGCAGUGAGGAAUUUUCCGCAAUGGGCGAAAGCCUGACGGAGCGACGCCGCGUGUGGGAAGAAGGCCUUCGGGUCGUAAACCACUGUCGAAGGGAAGAUAUUGACGGUACCUUGGAGGAAGCCCGGCUAACUACGCGCCAGCAGCCGC
Molecule: ribosomal RNA, 460 nt
Filed under: uncultured bacterium
Lineage: Bacteria
Description: SSU rRNA
Rfam family: Bacterial small subunit ribosomal RNA
Source: RNAcentral